RNAcentral lists this unclassified non-coding RNA (284 nucleotides) under Agroathelia rolfsii. RNAcentral's name for it is "Athelia rolfsii partial internal transcribed spacer region". The stretch from base 1 to 46 matches the Rfam family "Eukaryotic small subunit ribosomal RNA", at positions 1786 to 1831 of the family's 1831-position model. Lineage: Eukaryota; Fungi; Basidiomycota; Agaricomycetes; Amylocorticiales; Amylocorticiaceae. The record is from RNAcentral.
AAGUCGUAACAAGGUUUCCGUAGGUGAACCUGCGGAAGGAUCAUUAUUGAAUUCAUAUAUGCGAAGGAGUUGUGCUGGUAAUGAAUAUUGCAUGUGCACACUCUGGAGCUAUAUAAUAUAUACACCUGUGAACCAACUGUAGUCAGGAGAAAUCCUAACUAUGAUUACCCUAUAUAACUCUUAUUGUAUGUUACAUAGAACGAUCUCAUAUUGAAACUUUGUUUUCUGACAAGUUUCUCUUAAUUAAAAAUAUACAACUUUCAACAACGGAUCUCUUGGCUCUU